AAUAAUAAUAGACCAUAUCUUCCAUAUUGUAGAGCAAUUUGGAUUGUUCAGAAAGAUAAUAUUUUAUAGUUAACAAAGUGAAUAUAAGUUCUGACCUUAAUUUUAAAACACAAGAUGGAAACAGAACCUGGAUGGGGGUGUCUGUUUACGUCUGCGAUGGCUGCCGCUCCCCGCUUGGCGCCCCAGCCCCUGGCAUCACCAUGACUAAACCCCAGAUGGUGGCUCUUUCUUUGGCUUCCCCCUGGAGGGUGGAGGCUCCUCACUCUGACUGGCAAGUGGAUCACCAGAGAGAAAGAGAUGCUCCCUCACGGCCCGGCGCCUCCUUGCCUCUGCUGGGGCUGUAGAUGCAGCUCAUAAUGGUUGAAAUGUGGCGAACCUGAAUCCUGGCCUGGGAUCUUUCAGCAUGGAGUUUGGCUGCGUGGGUUUUCUCCCUAACACACUUCAGAAACACAACUCUUGUCUGACCACACAUUCAAGCCUCAGAGAAAAGCAGAAGGGAAUUCAAAUGCUCACAUUGCAGCUGCUCAGAAUCUUAGAGAAAACCAGAAGUCUUCACUUCUUCCAUGCAGUCGUCCAGUGAUGUCCUGCGAUGGACCUGCGAUGGACUCUAGACCAG
Molecule: long non-coding RNA, 616 nt
Organism: Poeciliopsis prolifica (blackstripe livebearer)
Lineage: Eukaryota; Metazoa; Chordata; Actinopteri; Cyprinodontiformes; Poeciliidae
Exons: 3
Source: RefSeq, a predicted model, not a curated record